Molecule: long non-coding RNA, 763 nt
Filed under: Triticum aestivum (bread wheat)
Lineage: Eukaryota; Viridiplantae; Streptophyta; Magnoliopsida; Poales; Poaceae
Description: long non-coding RNA (TAES_LNC010471)
Source: RNAcentral
AAGGUGGGUUUUCUUAAUCUUCCUUUCAAGAUCCUUCUGUGUGAUAUGCUUCUUCUGAACCCCAUCCGAAAAUCAGCAUGCUUUUGCUUGUUUCUUUCUUGACGGAACAAAAAAAUUGGUGGUUGGUCUAUGACAAAAAAUUGAUAGUGAACAACAUCUAGAUCAGAGCCUGAUCAGUUGUGUUGUUGCAAAAAUAAAGAGAGACAAAAAAACUCAUAUCUAGAUCCAGUGUGUGGCAUAUUUUUAGCUAGAUGUCAGAAGUGGUAGCUGUAGCAGAGAUUGAGAGAUCUAGAUAAAUUGACUGAACCAAUAAUUCAGUUUUCUGAAUCUUUUACAUACAGUUUGUGUACAAUUAGAUACAAUAUGCAAUAAGUGAGAACAAACAGAGGGAGAAAAACUUCAAUUAUUCAUAUAUAUUCCUCCCAUUAUUUAGUAUCACAAACAUGAGUUCAGCUGGUAUGAAUCUAACAAAUUCAGUCUUACUGAACAAAUUCUCUAACAGAUUCAGUCUUUAUCAAAAAAAUUCCUGGCUCAAGUUCAAUGGAUCAAAAUCCUCACCCCCCUACUACCCAACCCCCCUAGUUCCCAACCUUACCUACACAAAAUUCACCAGCAAGCCGACGGGUUCUACAGUUCAAUUUGCGGCGCUGAGUUGAACUGAGCUGAACCAAAGUGGCCUGUAUGCUCCUACAAAAAUAGAGUUAGGUUGUUUGUGUAAAAGAUAAUGACUAUACAAUAUUGAUCACAGUAAAAACUAGGGGCU